GAUGAACGCUGGCGGCGUGCCUAAUACAUGCCAGUCGAGCGAACAGACGAGGAGCUUGCUCCUCUGACGUUAGCGGCGGACGGGUGAGUAACACGUGGAUAACCUACCUAUAAGACUGGGAUAACUUCGGGAAACCGGAGCUAACCCCGGAUAAUAUAUUGAACCGCAUGGUUCAAUAGUGAAAGACGGUUUUGCUGUCACUUAUAGAUGGAUCUGCGCCGCAUUAGCUAGUUGGUAAGGUAACGGCUUACCAAGGCAACGAGGCGUAGACGACGUGAGAGGGUGAUCGGCCACACUGGAACUGAGACACGGUCCAGACUCCUACGGGAGGCAGCAGUAGGGAAUCUUCCGCAAUGGGCGAAAGCUUGACGGAGCAACGCCGCGUGAGUGAUGAAGGUCUUCGGAUCGUAAAACUCUGUUAUUAGGGAAGAACAAAUGUGUAAGUAACUAUGCACGUCUUGACGGUACCUAAUCAGAAAGCCACGGCUAACUACGUG
This 497-nucleotide ribosomal RNA is filed under the name uncultured bacterium. RNAcentral's name for it is "partial 16S ribosomal RNA". It matches the Rfam family "Bacterial small subunit ribosomal RNA", at positions 28 to 507 of the family's 1533-position model. The record is from RNAcentral.